This 245-nucleotide ribosomal RNA is filed under the name uncultured bacterium. RNAcentral's name for it is "partial 16S ribosomal RNA". It matches the Rfam family "Bacterial small subunit ribosomal RNA", at positions 524 to 770 of the family's 1533-position model. The record is from RNAcentral.
UACGUAGGGUGCAAGCGUUAAUCGGAAUACUGGGCGUAAAGCGUGCGCAGGCGGUGAUGUAAGACAGAUGUGAAAUCCCCGGGCUCAACCUGGAACUGCAUUUGUGACUGCAUCGCUGGAGUGCGGCAGAGGGGGAUGGAAUUCCGCGUGUAGCAGUGAAAUGCGUAGAUAUGCGGAGGAACACCGAUGGCGAAGGCAAUCCCCUGGGCCUGCACUGACGCUCAUGCACGAAAGCGUGGGGAGCA